AAGAACACUAACUGUAGGCAUAGUAAUUGCUCUUGGAUGGGGAUUUAAAGCAAGGUUCCUAUUGAUCUCCUUCAGAUAAUGUGGCCUCUUCAUUUUCAACUGGGAAGGACCUGCAUGGACUUGAGAAUACAGAGCCAAUCGAAGUUCAAGAGGGAUCUCUCGUAUGCAGUGCUGCUCCUUUGCCUCGUCAAGAUGAAGAAUUGGUGCAGUGGUGAGGCUGG
This is a long non-coding RNA of Alosa alosa (allis shad), 221 nucleotides long. RefSeq lists it as uncharacterized. Lineage: Eukaryota; Metazoa; Chordata; Actinopteri; Clupeiformes; Clupeidae. The record is from RefSeq and is a predicted model, not a curated record. The transcript is spliced from 3 exons.